AGGGCACCACCAGGAGUGGAGCCUGCGGCUUAAUUUGACUCAACACGGGGAAACUCACCCGGCCCGGACACCGGAAGGAUUGACAGAUUGAUAGCUUUUUCAUGAUUCGGUGGAUGGUGGUGCAUGGCCGUUCUUAGUUCGUGGAGCGAUUUGUCUGGUUUAUUCCGAUAACGAGCGAGACUCUAGCCUACUAAAUAGUUCGCACAUUGUCUCUGUGUGUGUGACUUCUUAGAGGGAUUUUCGGGGUUCAGCCGCACAAAAUUGAGCAAUAACAGGUCUGUGAUGCCCUUAGAUGUCCGGGGCUGCACGCGCGCUACACUGGAAAAAUCACCGUGCUUGUCCUUCCCCCAAAGGGGAUGGGAAACCCCUGAAAAUAUGCCGCGAUUGGGAUUGGAAAUUGCAAUUAUUUUCCAUGAACGAGGAAUUCCAAGUAAGUGCGAGACAUCAGCUCGCGUUGAUUACAUCCCUGCCCUUUGUACACACCGCCCGUCGCUGUCCGGGACUGAGACAUUUCGAGAA
Molecule: ribosomal RNA, 519 nt
Filed under: uncultured eukaryote
Lineage: Eukaryota
Description: SSU rRNA
Rfam family: Eukaryotic small subunit ribosomal RNA
Source: RNAcentral